This 2319-nucleotide ribosomal RNA is filed under the name Triticum aestivum (bread wheat). RNAcentral's name for it is "partial small subunit ribosomal RNA". Lineage: Eukaryota; Viridiplantae; Streptophyta; Magnoliopsida; Poales; Poaceae. The record is from RNAcentral.
ACCCUUUGUCGCUCGCUUUGUCGGUCGCUGACUUGUUCGGGCGCAGGGGGGAGGGGGAGGAAGGUGAAGUCCUUGGGAUCGGCGGCGGAGCAGGAGGAGGAGGGUGGUGUCGGCGGAGGGGGAAGGGGGCGGGGAGGGGGCGUAGAGUAGGCGGGGUCCACGUCUCCGCUCGAAGGGCCGCUGCCACCGCGACCGAGCUCCGUCCCCUUGCCGGCUACGCCCCAGGCAACCUAGCUCCGCACCCCUCGCCACCUACGCCGCAGCCGCCGUGCUCUUCUUGUAGCCAACGUCGGUUAAGCUACUGGACUAGUUUUGCUUUUAUGUAGACCUAAUCAGCGGUAAUCAGGACCAGAGGAUGCGUUCAUUUUUCUCUUUUGUUCCUUGUACAAGAUAUGCUCUCACGAUGGUUUCCUUUGGUUACUUUUUAGUACAGCUGCAUGUCGGGCGGCCACCCCGGACCGCUACAGCGAAAGACCACCUCCCACCGGUACCUGCACAACGUCCGCAACCCCACCGCGCUCGAGCCUACAUGAGUCCAACAGUUUUCCGUUUGAUAAGGACUAUAUCCGUUACUACUACUUCACGGUUAUAGUCCUUCUUUCGCUGUACAUGUUGUCUCUAAUCCUUUAUUACACCAACAAAGACUAAGCAUAUCCUCAGCUGUAUCAUUAUUUUCCACGUCCUCCAUGGUACGUUCGUUCGUCCCGCUGGUCCUAGUACGACGUCCCCGACCCAUAUAAAGGUCUCUUACAGUAGUUCCGUCCUAAAAAAGAAGAUUUUAGUCAAAUUCCGGUACGGGAGGAGAUGUUGCAUGUACAACCACUACUACCACGACGAUGGACAUGUGUCCAUAUAACCCAAACUAAUCCUGUAUGACAUAGAAUUUACCGUAAGGGGUAACCCUUUAAUUUUGCUACCUUCCCGGUAUACGCUUACCGUGGUUUCGUUGAAACUUACUGUUUGUAAACGUUUAGCGUAAAGAUCCAUACCAAUUAAGUACGUAAUAACAACAUUGAGAAACAAAGUACUCCUUAAGUCAGUGGUUCGGUCAACCUGUCACCACUAGUGGAGCGUGAGGUCGAUGGAUAAUAGGGUUCCUAUCUCUGAGAUUUCAAGACUUUGAAAGGGAAAGAAAAAUGACGUGUAAUUAGAAAAACUCGAACUUGCUUCAACAUUGAAUUUGUAGUCCACAGUUGUAAAUAGUGUGAGAGGAACAUUCAUUACGUAUAGAUCUACUACCCGGCCUCAUACGUAUAGAGGUCCAUUCAGGAGAAACCUGGGAAGGUGAAGCAGCCCGAGUGGUAACCUCUGAGCCUGCGGUCUUAGCCGUGGCGACGACACAGACAACCACUGCGAGUGUGUUCUAGGUUUCCGUCGUGGAACCGGUAGAGGGACGCUUGUAGACUGUUACACCGGCGGCGGAACUAAGAUGAACAGAACUAUGGGGUUUCUCUUUUCUCUCCUUUUUAUGUCUUAUCUAUCUAUACUACGUAAACAGUGAAUAGUACGGUCACAAUCCGAACCUCUAAAGAAGAGUAUAAAUAUGUAUUAAAAACAAUCUUUAGCAUUCUUUUUCUACCACGAACAACUUCCGUAGUGUGUUUAACACAAAUCUUCAUGACGUUUUGCUUUAUGUCUCAUCGUCGGUUCGAUUUGGAGCCUUGUAUUUACGGAAAUAUAUUUUUAUGGUGAUCUCACACAAGGACACCUCAAUUAUAUUCUGUUUACUUAACAUAGAGUGACAAAUGGAUAUAGAAGGGAAUCGUCUCGUCAUAAAAGUGUUGAUCCCUUACCUUUUCUUAUACCUGCACCAGUAGUCUAGCUCGGUCUUCUUCCUUUUACAUGUUACUUGGUCUUACAUGGUACAGCUCACCCUUGUUAACUGCUCUGCGGUUGCAAGACCAAAGCUUGGGGAGUUGAGGUCAAAUAGGGGAUGUAGCGCGGAAGACAGGACCUGUAGGGGCCGAAGAUACCACAACUGUAGAUGAAAAGACGCUGCGGGUGCACACCCAGCUACUACCGUGUCUACUCGUUGACGAGCUCGUCCGCUACUACUUCCGCUCACAACCGAGCCACCCACGCCACCUCCCGCUACUCCUACGGUCACACCUGCACUUCCGCCUGCUUAAGUAGCGUUUCAAGAUACGCAUCUACUUUACGUCGUCGUUCAGAAUCCCGACUUUAUGUUGCUGAACUACCUAUCCUCGUACACCUGUUCAGUAGCAUACAUUACGUAUAAGUUUGGUUUGGCCUUUAUAUUGGACGACGAUGAGGGGUUCAAAUUAUAUGAAGGUGAGGUUGCCUAAACCAGAUGUAAUG